CAUCCUGGUGACGACUCAAGCUGAGGACUGAUCUGCACAGAAACGGAAGGCCUGAAGCCUGGAGACCGAGUGCUGAUUAAAAUCAUCAAAAGGAAAACUUGGAAAGCUCCGAGGUGGGAAGGACCCUACAAAGUGCAACUAACAACCCCCACUGCCGUGAAAAUCCAGGAGAGAGACACUUGGAUCCACCAGAGUCAUUGUAAACUGAUUAAAAACUUUCCACAGCAAAAAAGCCCAGUUACUUUCACAGGGACCCCACGACUAAGGUAUAGAUCUGUGGUGAAGUCCAGCUUCAAAGGGGUUUGGUUUUUUUAGGACCACUCGUCUCAACGCUGGUGAA
This is a long non-coding RNA of Cyprinodon tularosa, 340 nucleotides long. RefSeq lists it as uncharacterized. The transcript is spliced from 2 exons. The record is from RefSeq and is a predicted model, not a curated record. NCBI's taxonomy places the organism in Eukaryota, Metazoa, Chordata, Actinopteri, Cyprinodontiformes, Cyprinodontidae.